Molecule: ribosomal RNA, 236 nt
Filed under: uncultured Actinomycetales bacterium
Lineage: Bacteria; Bacillati; Actinomycetota; Actinomycetes; Actinomycetales
Description: partial 16S ribosomal RNA
Rfam family: Bacterial small subunit ribosomal RNA
Source: RNAcentral
UGGCGAACGGGUGAGUAACACGUGGGUGAUCUGCCCUGCACUCUGGGAUAAGCCUGGGAAACUGGGUCUAAUACCGGAUAGGACCAUGCUUUAGUGUGUGUGGUGGAAAGUUUUUUCGGUGUAGGAUGAGCCCGCGGCCUAUCAGCUUGUUGGUGGGGGUAAUGGCCUACCAAGGCGGCGACGGGUAGCCGGACUGAGAGGUUGGUCGGCCACAUUGGGACUGAGAUACGGCCCAG